UACACUCCUACGGGAGGCAGCAGUGGGGAAUAUUGGACAAUGGGCGCAAGCCUGAUCCAGCCAUGCCGCGUGAGUGAUGAAGGCCCUAGGGUUGUAAAGCUCUUUCACCGGUGAAGAUAAUGACGGUAACCGGAGAAGAAGCCCCGGCUAACUUCGUGCCAGCAGCCGCGGUAAUACGAAGGGGGCUAGCGUUGUUCGGAUUUACUGGGCGUAAAGCGCACGUAGGCGGACUAUUAAGUCAGGGGUGAAAUCCCGGGGCUCAACCCCGGAACUGCCUUUGAUACUGGUAGUCUUGAGUUCGAGAGAGGUGAGUGGAAUUCCGAGUGUAGAGGUGAAAUUCGUAGAUAUUCGGAGGAACACCAGUGGCGAAGGCGGCUCACUGGCUCGAUACUGACGCUGAGGUGCGAAAGCGUGGGGAGCAAACAGGAUUAGAAACCCGUGUAGUCC
RNAcentral lists this ribosomal RNA (447 nucleotides) under uncultured organism. Its description in RNAcentral is "partial 16S ribosomal RNA". It matches the Rfam family "Bacterial small subunit ribosomal RNA", at positions 332 to 796 of the family's 1533-position model. The record is from RNAcentral.